RNAcentral lists this signal recognition particle RNA (246 nucleotides) under Desulfobacterales bacterium HSG2. RNAcentral describes it as "signal recognition particle sRNA large type". It matches the Rfam family "Bacterial large signal recognition particle RNA". Rfam says of the family: The signal recognition particle (SRP) is a universally conserved ribonucleoprotein involved in the co-translational targeting of proteins to membranes. The record is from RNAcentral. Lineage: Bacteria; Pseudomonadati; Thermodesulfobacteriota; Desulfobacteria; Desulfobacterales.
UUGUGCUAGGCGGGGCGCUAGCGGUGCCCUUUACGCCCAAAUCCGCUAUAUGGGGGGCUGAAUACCUCUGGAGGGUCUUAUUCCGGAAAUUCGCUGCCAUACUGAUCGGCCGCCGCGCAACAGACGGUCAUGAACCUCGUCAGAUCCGGGAGGAAGCAGCGAUAAGUGAUGCGGUCUGUGUCGUGGAUCGAUCCCGGUCAUUUCUAUGGCGCUUAUAUUCGGAAAGAUUCGAUAGGGGAUGCACAA